RNAcentral lists this long non-coding RNA (1502 nucleotides) under Dromaius novaehollandiae (emu). RNAcentral's name for it is "lncRNA (ENSDNVG00000004946.1)". The record is from RNAcentral. Lineage: Eukaryota; Metazoa; Chordata; Aves; Casuariiformes; Dromaiidae.
AUGAACUCAUUUAAAAUAACUGCUUCCCUUCAUGCAGACACAGUUUUAGGGAAGAAAACUAUUGAGGGUUGGAGUACAGUAGCUGUCCCGCAGAUCUACUUGAURAUAGAUGAGAUGACUAGACAGACGUCAACAGACAAUUCAUGUUUAUUCUUCUCCGCUUUCCACAGGAAGUGCUACCAACUAGGACAAGAAGACAGUCAUUUUACUGACUCCACGAUGGUAACCGUGUUACCUCUCCAGCUGCUUCCCCAAGAAAGAAGAGAUACARAUGUAAGCCCAAAGAAAUGAAAGAUGAGGCUAAACUGACUUCCAGGUGCCUGGAUGUAGCCUACUGUGGUUCCCCCCGGGCUGUGCACUGAAGUUUCUUUUCUGUGGAGACCAGCGUGGAAGGAUGUGGCAAGGGCAGGAGUGCCUGCUGGCUGCCUGGGUCUCACCAGCACUCCCUCACGGUACAAGCGCCCACUCGGACUCGGCCUCAGGAAGACGAGGAAUCCGAGGUAGCACAAGAUCUGAUGUCCAUGCUGGUGCCAUCCUUUAUCCCUGUUGGUGAAUACUUAUCAAGCUGCACUCUAACAGACCUUCUCAUUCUAGCACCAGUUUCGCUGUUUUGUUUUUAUAUGCUUGUAACUGUUCUGCUGUGGGUCUUCUAUGUCAUGCWGAUGAGUGUUUGCCAUGGGACACCUUGGGACAGCUGUUAAAAAGAGGACCUGCAGUUAAAAUAUAGCAGUGGCUGCGUUCUUUCUCUAUUCCUCCAUGUCCUGCAGAUAUCUUUGCAUAAGCGACAAACUGAUUCACAGGACAUGAACCUGGAAAUACAAAGGCCUGGAUUUUGUCUCUGGAUCUGAACAGCUCUGACAGCCAUCUGCCUUCCACUUUCUCAUCUGAGGCUAGUAAAGUGUUUUACAAACUGGAGGUAAAAAUAGCAAAAGCUGCAAGAGGCAUGAUUAAGCUCCAUUUUCUCUGAGGAAGGAAUAUGCAGAGAGAUUUUUUUCAAGCAUAUGAUGAGAUCCAAGCUAAGCAUAAGGAAUGUGCUUUAGUUUGGAAAAAAACACAUUUUACAUUCCUGCUUUAAUUCUACACACAUCUAUCUUUUUUCACAAAUAUGCAUGUGUAUGUAGGUUUAUAUGAAUAGGUUAGCUGCCAAGACUAGAUAUGUUGAAUGAGUAGAUUUAUAAUCACAUUAAAAACAUAAAAUAACUGAAGAUACUGUUUUCCUGUAUUUUAAUUUUUUGUACUUCAAGGCUGUGAUUCUUUAUUCUUUCCUGCAAUAGCUGAUAGCCCUAAAUUACUCCUAAWCUAACUAGCUAAAUUAGUUACUCCUAAACUAACUAACUAAACUAACUCCUAAGGUAGAACACAAAGUUAGAUUCUUCACCAUAAGUUAGGUGUUUGCUGAUGUCAUUAUUGACAAAGAAAACACAAAACUCUAAUGAAGACUCAUCCUUCCAAAAACCAAAGUCCAUCACCAUCAUGCAGAAUAAAAAYAGUUGAGUCAUGCA